Molecule: ribosomal RNA, 854 nt
Filed under: uncultured bacterium
Lineage: Bacteria
Description: bacterial SSU rRNA
Rfam family: Bacterial small subunit ribosomal RNA
Source: RNAcentral
ACGCUGGCGGCGUGCCUAACACAUGCAAGUCGAACGGUAACAGGUCUUCGGAUGCUGACGAGUGGCGCACGGGUGAGUAACGCGUGGAUAUCUGCCUAUUAGUGGGGGACAACUUUCGGAAACGGAAGCUAAUACCGCAUAAUCUCUACGGAGGAAAGCAGGGGACCUUUCGGGGCCUUGUGCUGAUAGAUGAGUCCGCGUCUGAUUAGCUAGUUGGUAGGGUAAAGGCCUACCAAGGCGAUGAUCAGUAUCUGGUUUGAGAGGAUGAUCAGACACACUGGAACUGAGACACGGUCCAGACUUCUACGGAAGGCAGCAGUGGGGAAUAUUGCACAAUGGGGGAAACCCUGAUGCAGCGACGCCGCGUGUGGGAAGAAGGCUUUAGGGUUGUAAACCACUUUCAAUUGGGAAGAAGAGAUGAGUACUAAUAUUAUUCUGAUUUGACGGUACCUUUAGAAGAAGCACCGGCUAAUUUCGUGCCAGCAGCCGCGGUAAUACGAAAGGUGCAAGCGUUGUUCGGAUUUACUGGGCGUAAAGCGAGUGUAGGUUGUUUAUUAAGUCGGAUGUGAAAUCCCAGGGCUCAACCCUGGAACUGCAUUCGAUACUGAUAGGCUAGAGUUCGGGAGGGGUAAGCGGAAUUCCGUGUGUAGCAGUGAAAUGCGUAGAUAUACGGAGGAACACCUGAGGCGAAGGCGGCUUACUGGACCGAUACUGACACUGAGACUCGAAAGCGUGGGUAGCAAACAGGAUUAGAUACCCUGGUAGUCCACGCCCUAAACGAUGUCAACUAGCCGUUGCGGGUAUCGACCCCUGCAGUGGCGAAGCUAACGCGAUAAGUUGACCGCCUGGGGAGU